Molecule: signal recognition particle RNA, 299 nt
Filed under: Saimiri boliviensis boliviensis (Bolivian squirrel monkey)
Lineage: Eukaryota; Metazoa; Chordata; Mammalia; Primates; Cebidae
Description: Metazoan signal recognition particle RNA (ENSSBOG00000007705.1)
Rfam family: Metazoan signal recognition particle RNA
About the family: The signal recognition particle (SRP) is a universally conserved ribonucleoprotein. It is involved in the co-translational targeting of proteins to membranes. The eukaryotic SRP consists of a 300-nucleotide 7S RNA and six proteins: SRPs 72, 68, 54, 19, 14, and 9.
Source: RNAcentral
GCUGGUUGCAGUGGCAUGUGCCUGUAGUCCCAGCUACCUGGGAGGCUGAGGUGGGAGGAUCGCUUGAGCCCAGGAUUUCUGGGCUGUAGUACGCUAUGCCAACCGGGUGUCCGCACGAAGUUACACAUCAAUAUGGUGACCUCCUGGAAGCGGGGGACCACCAGCUUGCCUAAGGAGGGGUGAACCGGCCCAGGUCGGAAACGGAACAGGUCAAAACUCCUGUGGUGAUCAGUAGUGGGAUCACACCUGUGAAUAACCACUGUACUCCAGCCUGGGCAGCAUAGCGAGACUCCAUCUCU